Molecule: ribosomal RNA, 497 nt
Filed under: uncultured bacterium
Lineage: Bacteria
Description: partial 16S ribosomal RNA
Rfam family: Bacterial small subunit ribosomal RNA
Source: RNAcentral
GACGAACGCUGGCGGCGUGCCUAAUACAUGCAAGUCGAGCGAACGGACGAGAAGCUUGCUUCCACGAUGUUAGAGGCGGACGGGAGCUUAACACGUGGUUAACCUAACUCUACGACUGGGAUAACUUCGGGAAACAGGAGCUAAUACCGGAUAAUUUUUUGAACCGCAUGGUUCACACGUGAAAGAAGGUCUUGCUGACACUUAUAGAUGGAUCAGCGCUUCAUUAGCUAGUUGGUAAGGUAACGGCUUACCAAGGCAACGAUGCAUAGACGACCUGAGAGGGAGAACGGCUACACGGUAACUGAGGCACGUUCCAGACUCCGACAGUAGGCAGCAGUAGAGAAUCUUCCGCGAUGGACGAGAGCCUGACGUAGCAACGCCGCGUGAGUGAUGAAGGUCUUAGGAUCGUAGAGCGCUGUAAGUAGGAAAGAACAUAUGUGUAAGUAACUGGGCUCAUCUUGACGGUACCUAGUCAGAAAGCCACGGCUAACUACGUG